This 95-nucleotide small nucleolar RNA is filed under the name Eremothecium cymbalariae DBVPG#7215. The record is from RNAcentral. Lineage: Eukaryota; Fungi; Ascomycota; Saccharomycetes; Saccharomycetales; Saccharomycetaceae.
CUUCAUUAUGAUGAUAACUUUACUCAGCUCACUCAGAUUUCAUAUGAUUGACAAAAUUUACCUAUCCAACAUUCAUCAAAUUAUCUGAAUAGAAG